CGGUACUUUAUAAACUGAAGAGUAUACUCAUGGCACAAUUCGCGAAUUGGGUAUUGCGAGGAAUCCAAAAUCUUGGGGAAAUCAGAAGGAAGGGGUUUGCAUUGGGAUCUGGAAAGAGGAUUGAAUAAACGCAUCCUCUGUGGAUUUUCGCGAUCGAGCUUGAUGAUCCAUCCAUGGUUAUUAGUUUGAUUAGGUGGAUGGAUAAGGUAGAGGGGUGAUUUGGAGAGUUUAAAACCCCAGCUAUUUUCAGCGAUGCCGUCAUUGGGGAGAAUGGGAAAACGGGAAAGGGAAGACGGGUAGGGUUUAGGAGGAAGAGAGGAAUUGGUAAUCAAAAAAGAAAGAAAAUUACAAGAAGAAAGAGUAGUGCCAAUGGCAUCUCCAUUAACACCGUCAAAUUGGUCGACGAUUUGGGAUGGAACAGGUAUUUUUGAGGUGCCACCAUUGUCACCCUUGUCUCAGCUUGUAAUGAUAUAAUUUUGGAUUAUAAGUAUUUGAUGAAUAUGCACCUGACUAAGUCUGAGGUGAAUUAGGAUUAUAAUUAUGUGUCUCUUUGGAUCUUUUAUCUUUAAUAAUUUCAUUCAUUAAGCGUUAUUUAAUGUAAAUAAGCAAUCAAUCUUAUAUUUGUUCAAUCUUAUAAUAUA
RNAcentral lists this unclassified non-coding RNA (641 nucleotides) under Hevea brasiliensis (rubber tree). The record is from RNAcentral. Lineage: Eukaryota; Viridiplantae; Streptophyta; Magnoliopsida; Malpighiales; Euphorbiaceae.